UAGUUACCGGCGGCUUCAAUGAGAGGGAUA
Molecule: small RNA, 30 nt
Filed under: Bombyx mori (domestic silkworm)
Lineage: Eukaryota; Metazoa; Arthropoda; Insecta; Lepidoptera; Bombycidae
Description: ovarian small RNA-23113
Source: RNAcentral